GCCCUUAGAGUUUGAUCAUGGCUCAGGACGAACGCUGGCGGCGGGCCUAACACAUGCAAGUCGCAGGGGAUUCACCGAGCCUGGCUUGGUGAUGAGACUGGCGAACGGGUGCGUAACACGUUAACAAUCUGCCUGCAGGCGGGGGAUAACUCCGGGAAACCGGGGCUAAUACCGCAUGAUGCAGCGGGGCCGCAUGGUCACAGUUGUUAAAGCCCUUCGGGGCGCCUGCAGAUGAGUUUGCGUCGCAUUAGUUAGUUGGUGGGGUAAUGGCCUACCAAGACGAUGAUGCGUAGGGGUUCUGAGAGGAUGAUCCCCCACACUGGCACUGAGACACGGGCCAGACUCCUACGGGAGGCAGCAGUGAGGAAUAUUGCGCAAUGGGCGAAAGCCUGACGCAGCCACGCCGCGUGCCGGAAGAAGGUUCUUUGAAUCGUAAACGGCUUUUGUCGGGGAAGAAAGGCCUGGUUUCGACCGGGUUUGACGGUACCUGGUGAAUAAGCACCGGCUAACUCCGUGCCAGCAGCCGCGGUAAUACGGAGGGUGCAAGCGUUGUCCGGAAUCAUUGGGUGUAAAGGGUGCGUAGGCGGAAGCUUAAGUCUGUGGUGAAAGGUGCCGCUCACGGCAAGA
This 627-nucleotide ribosomal RNA is filed under the name uncultured Bacteroidota bacterium. Its description in RNAcentral is "bacterial SSU rRNA". It matches the Rfam family "Bacterial small subunit ribosomal RNA", at positions 1 to 620 of the family's 1533-position model. The record is from RNAcentral. Lineage: Bacteria; Pseudomonadati; Bacteroidota.